UGGGGAAUAUUGGGCAAUGGGGGAAACCCUGACCCAGCAACGCCGCGUGAAGGAAGAAGGUUUUCGGAUUGUAAACUUCUGUCGCAGGGGGAGAAAAAAAUGACGGUACCCUGUGAGGAAGCCCCGGCUAACUACGUGCCAGCAGCCGCGGUAAUACGUAGGGGGCGAGCGUUGUCCGGAAUUACUGGGCGUAAAGGGUGCGUAGGCGGUCUUUUAAGUUAGAUGUGAAAUACCCGGGCUCAACUUGGGGGGUGCAUCUAAAACUGGAGGACUUGAGUACAGGAGAGGAAAGUGGAAUUCCUAGUGUAGCGGUGAAAUGCGUAGAUAUUAGGAGGAACACCAGUGGCGAAGGCGGCUUUCUGGACUGUAACUGACGCUGAGGCACGAAAGCGUGGGGAGCAAACA
This 405-nucleotide ribosomal RNA is filed under the name uncultured Eubacteriales bacterium. RNAcentral describes it as "uncultured Clostridiales bacterium partial 16S ribosomal RNA". It matches the Rfam family "Bacterial small subunit ribosomal RNA", at positions 355 to 774 of the family's 1533-position model. The record is from RNAcentral. Lineage: Bacteria; Bacillati; Bacillota; Clostridia; Eubacteriales.